RNAcentral lists this ribosomal RNA (315 nucleotides) under uncultured bacterium. RNAcentral describes it as "bacterial SSU rRNA". It matches the Rfam family "Bacterial small subunit ribosomal RNA", at positions 28 to 334 of the family's 1533-position model. The record is from RNAcentral.
GAUGAACGCUAGCGACAGGCUUAACACAUGCAAGUCGAGGGGCAGCGGGGAGGUAGCAAUACUUCCGCCGGCGACCGGCGCACGGGUGAGUAACACGUAUGGAACCUGCCCGUAGCAGGGGGAUAAGCGGAAGAAAUUCCGUCUAAUACCGCGUAAUAAUUCCGAGAGGCAUCUCAUGGAGUUUAAAGGGUAACACCGGCUACGGAUGGCCAUGCGGCGCAUUAGCUAGUUGGCGGGGUAACGGCCCACCAAGGCGACGAUGCGUAGGGGUUCUGAGAGGAAGGUCCCCCACACUGGUACUGAGACACGGCCCAA